This 117-nucleotide ribosomal RNA is filed under the name Allium caeruleum. RNAcentral describes it as "5.8S ribosomal RNA". It matches the Rfam family "5.8S ribosomal RNA", at positions 11 to 127 of the family's 154-position model. From Rfam's summary of the family: 5.8S ribosomal RNA (5.8S rRNA) is a component of the large subunit of the eukaryotic ribosome. It is transcribed by RNA polymerase I as part of the 45S precursor that also contains 18S and 28S rRNA. The record is from RNAcentral. Lineage: Eukaryota; Viridiplantae; Streptophyta; Magnoliopsida; Asparagales; Amaryllidaceae.
AAUGGAUAUCUUGGCUCUCGUAUCGAUGAAGAACGUAGCGAAAUGCGACACUUGGUGUGAAUUGCAGAAUCCCGUGAACCAUCGAGUCUUUGAAUGCAAGUUGCGCUCGAGGCCGUU